This is a non-coding RNA of Equus caballus (horse), 46 nucleotides long. NCBI's taxonomy places the organism in Eukaryota, Metazoa, Chordata, Mammalia, Perissodactyla, Equidae. The record is from Rfam.
CCAAAGGCUCUUUUCAGAGCCACUUAAAUUGUCAUUUAAAGAGUUU